Molecule: small nuclear RNA, 99 nt
Filed under: Stegodyphus mimosarum
Lineage: Eukaryota; Metazoa; Arthropoda; Arachnida; Araneae; Eresidae
Source: RNAcentral
GUGCUUUGGCAGUACAUAUACUAAAAUUGGAACGAUACGGAGAAGAUUAGCAUGGGGUUGCAAACGAAGUUUAGUGGAAGAGAAUUGCAAAAAAUAAUU